Molecule: long non-coding RNA, 1022 nt
Filed under: Anas platyrhynchos platyrhynchos (common mallard)
Lineage: Eukaryota; Metazoa; Chordata; Aves; Anseriformes; Anatidae
Description: lncRNA (ENSAPLG00000020102.1)
Source: RNAcentral
GGCUCACAGUGAUUCAUCUGCAGCCUCUCUGGCGUUCAGAGAUUCAGAAGGAGGCGUCAGAAGUGCCGCCUGGCACUCCCCGUGUCACACGCACCGCACCUGUAGUCCCAGGGAGAAACCUCUCUUCGUGUUUUGUUCUUAGGGAAAUCACACGUGAGCAGCAAGCACCAUGAGCACACGCACACGCCCCGCUCUAACAGUCUCUCGGGCGGCCAUGCAGCCUUCCAACAUCGCUCACUUUGGUUUUCUUCGCUUCCACGGGUGCCGCCUCUGUAGGCCCCGGAGGGCUGGCGGCACCGCAAGCGUGGCUGGUGCUGGGGAGGUCGGCCCUGGCAGCUCCACGCCUGGGAAAGGUACUUCCAGGCACUCAGAGAGGCUAAAUAAAUUCUGGACCAUCCCACUACUUGGAGAUCUCUGAAGCUCUGACUUCCUUGGAUGUAUCCCUUCAAUCCCAUCCUAAUCCUACCUGGAGUUCCCUCUGGUGGAAUCAUGUCACACAGCCCCACCGAAGGCUAUCAGCACAGUAUGUAGAUGGGUAAACAGGAAAGUGUGGAGUGUGAGCAGAUACAAGAUAAAAUAAGGAGAUUUUAAGCCACCUUCAGCCCUAUAGAGAGUGUACGUUAUAAUUACAACACGUAUCUCAGGCUUCCUCUGCAUACACUCUCUCACUGACAACUGCAGAAAAAAUAACAAUGACUCCAGAGAAAUUGGAAAAUAAUCAUACUUAGAGAGCAUUGGGCUGAGCCAGUACCCUGUUCAUGCUCAGUAAGUAUUAAACUACGUGUUCAGUCGGUCCUGACUUGUACUUCAGGUAAAUGUAAUUUAUCACACAGCCUUACUGAUUACAGGACUGUCCCAUCCCCCUGCACUCUGUUAAUCUGCUUGUUUCCAUUUACGGCUGUGUACGCUAGGCUCUUGUUAUGCAGUUACAUGCCACUAAUUAGUUUGAUCUAGCUCAGACUCGUAACUCAAACAAAAACAAGCGGCACUUGAGUUUGCAAUAAAUUGGUCAAAUUUUAACA